Molecule: unclassified non-coding RNA, 396 nt
Filed under: Hevea brasiliensis (rubber tree)
Lineage: Eukaryota; Viridiplantae; Streptophyta; Magnoliopsida; Malpighiales; Euphorbiaceae
Source: RNAcentral
UUCCCUUCAGCGUAUGAUAAACUGUGGCAUCAACAAAUAAAACAGUUAUCUACUAGACUACUACUCACCAGUGAUGAAUUUUUAUUUUAAAGUAAACAUGCCAACAAACUAAAGCACAACUUCAUGGUAAACUGUAGGUUAACAAUAAUAUUUAAAAUUGAUAACAAUAUUCGACUCCAUAUCUUGGUCAACUUUGAUUCACAGCAGCUGAAUUUCAUUUUUAUUUUCUUUUUCUAUUCGAGUCAAAACAUUUUCGAGAUCAAAAGGAUUCCACAGGUCUGAUUGAAAGUGGAUUGAAGACAUCCACAAACGUAAGCACAUACUCAAAUUCCAAAUUGAGGGCCAGUUGGUAUACGUGAUUCCAGUAUAAAGAAUAGAGAUAAAAGCACUAGUUUG